This 523-nucleotide ribosomal RNA is filed under the name uncultured Herbaspirillum sp. RNAcentral's name for it is "bacterial SSU rRNA". It matches the Rfam family "Bacterial small subunit ribosomal RNA", at positions 8 to 524 of the family's 1533-position model. Lineage: Bacteria; Pseudomonadati; Pseudomonadota; Betaproteobacteria; Burkholderiales; Oxalobacteraceae. The record is from RNAcentral.
AGAGUUUGAUCCUGGCUCAGAUUGAACGCUGGCGGCAUGCCUUACACAUGCAAGUCGAACGGCAGCAUAGGAGCUUGCUCCUGAUGGCGAGUGGCGAACGGGUGAGUAAUAUAUCGGAACGUGCCCUAGAGUGGGGGAUAACCAGUCGAAAGACUAGCUAAUACCGCAUACGAUCUACGGAUGAAAGUGGGGGAUCGCAAGACCUCAUGCCCCUGGAGCGGCCGAUAUCUGAUUAGCUAGUUGGUGGGGUAAAAGCUCACCAAGGCUACGAUCAGUAGCUGGUCUGAGAGGACGACCAGCCACACUGGGACUGAGACACGGCCCAGACUCCUACGGGAGGCAGCAGUGGGGAAUUUUGGACAAUGGGGGCAACCCUGAUCCAGCAAUGCCGCGUGAGUGAAGAAGGCCUUCGGGUUGUAAAGCUCUUUUGUCAGGGAAGAAACGGUUCUGGAUAAUACCUGGGACUAAUGACGGUACCUGAAGAAUAAGCACCGGCUAACUACGUGCCAGCAGCCGCGGUAAU